GACGAACGCUGGCGGCGUGCUUAACACAUGCAAGUCGAACGCUGAAGCUCAGCUUGCUGGGUGGAUGAGUGGCGAACGGGUGAGUAACACGUGAGUAACCUGCCCUCUUCUUUGGGAUAACGCCCGGAAACGGGUGCUAAUACUGGAUAUUCACUGAUUCUCGCAUGGGGGUUGGUGGAAAGGUUUUUUCUGGUGGGGGAUGGGCUCGCGGCCUAUCAGCUUGUUGGUGGGGUGAUGGCCUACCAAGGCUUUGACGGGUAGCCGGCCUGAGAGGGUGACCGGUCACAUUGGGACUGAGAUACGGCCCAGACUCCUACGGGAGGCAGCAGUGGGGAAGAUUGCACAAUGGGCGAAAGCCUGAUGCAGCGACGCCGCGUGAGGGAUGGAGGCCUUCGGGUUGUAAACCUCUUUCGCUCAUGGUCAAGCCGCAGCUUUGGGUUGUGGUGAGGGUAGUGGGUAAAGAAGCGCCGGCGAACUACGU
Molecule: ribosomal RNA, 481 nt
Filed under: uncultured bacterium
Lineage: Bacteria
Description: partial 16S ribosomal RNA
Rfam family: Bacterial small subunit ribosomal RNA
Source: RNAcentral